RNAcentral lists this transfer RNA (86 nucleotides) under Neurospora tetraspora. RNAcentral describes it as "tRNA-Thr". It matches the Rfam family "tRNA". From Rfam's summary of the family: Transfer RNA (tRNA) molecules are approximately 80 nucleotides in length. Their secondary structure includes four short double-helical elements and three loops (D, anti-codon, and T loops). Lineage: Eukaryota; Fungi; Ascomycota; Sordariomycetes; Sordariales; Sordariaceae. RNAcentral also lists the same sequence under 1 other name. The record is from RNAcentral.
GCCCGUAUAGCUCAGUGGUAGAGCGCAUCACUCGUAUUCCAAUCUGCGAUAUGAUGAGGUCCGCGGUUCAAUCCCGCGUGGGGGCA